Molecule: ribosomal RNA, 406 nt
Filed under: uncultured bacterium
Lineage: Bacteria
Description: partial 16S ribosomal RNA
Rfam family: Bacterial small subunit ribosomal RNA
Source: RNAcentral
AUUGAACGCUGGCGGCAGGCCUAACACAUGCAAGUCGAACGAGUGGCGGACGGGUGAGUAAUGUCUGGGAAACUGCCUGAUGGAGGGGGAAAACUACUGGAAACGGUAGCUAAUAACGCAUACCAUCGAAUGUGCCCAGAUGGGAUUAGCUAGGAGGUGGGGUAAAGGCUCACCUAGGCGAAGAUCCCUAGCUGGUCUGAGAGGAUGACCAGCCACACUGGAACUGAGACACGGUCCAGAUUCCUACGGGAGGCAGCAGUGGGGAAUAUUGCACAAUGGGCGCAAGCCUGAUGCAGCCAUGCCGCGUGUAUGAAGAAGGCCUUCGGGUUGUAAAGUACUUUCAGCGGGGAGGCGUUACCCGCAGAAGAAGCACCGGCUAACUCCGUGCCAGCAGCCGCGGUAAUUC